This is a long non-coding RNA of Alligator mississippiensis (American alligator), 4484 nucleotides long. RefSeq lists it as uncharacterized. NCBI's taxonomy places the organism in Eukaryota, Metazoa, Chordata, Crocodylia, Alligatoridae. The transcript has 2 exons. The record is from RefSeq and is a predicted model, not a curated record.
CCCCAGCCUGUAUGUAUGCUGUGGAUUCCUUCUCCCAAGGUGCAGCACCCUGCAUUUGUCUACACUGAACCCCAUCCUAUUCUCAUCUGCCCACUUUUGUAGUCUGUCUAAAUCUAGUUGCAGCCUCUCUCCCUUCAAGUAUGUCCACCUCACCCCACAUCUUAGUGUCAUCAGCAAAUUUGGACAGCGUGCUUUCCACCCCCUCGUCCAAGUCGCUGAUGAAGAUGUUAAAGUGUGGGCCCGAGUACCGAGCCCUGGGGUACCCCACUGCUCACAUCUCGCCAGGUUGAGUACGACCCAUCCACCGCUACUCUCUGGGUGCGCCCCAUCAGCCAAUUUACCAUCCAACAUUGUGCAGGCAUCAAUGCCGCAGUCGCUUAAUUUAUUGAUGAGGGUGGGGUGAGAGACAGUGUCAAAGGCCUUCUUAAAGUCUAGAAAGACUACAUCCACAGCGACACCAUCAUGCAAGGAUUUAGUUACUUGGUCAUAAAAGGCAAUCAGGCUGGUCAGGCAGGACCUGCCUUUGAUGAACCCAUGCUGAUUCCCCUGAGCAUGAUCUCCUCUGCUGGCCCCCCCACAGAUGUGCUCCUUGAUGAUUCUCUCCAUGAUCUUCCCAAGCACCGAGAUGAGGCUUACAGGCCUAUAGUUACUUGGGUCCUCCUUCCUCCCCUUCUUAAAAACUGGGACCACAUUAGCCAGUUUCCAAUCCCCCGGCACCUGGCCAGAUGACCACAAAUGCUCAUACAGCCAGGCCAAGGGCUCUGCGAUGACCCCUGCCAGCUCCCUCAACACCCUUGGGUGGAGGGCAUCUGGACCUGCAGAUUUAAACAUGUCUAGCCCUUCCAGAAGAUCCCUAACUACAUCUGCACUGACUGAAGGCCUGACAGAGCUAUCCCCAAGAUUGUCCCUACCUCUGGUAGGUGGGAUAUCCUGGUCCCUGUUCAGGAAAACAGAGGCAAAGAAACUGUUAAAAAUAUCAGCUCUCUCAUCUGGUGUGGCCACCAGAUUACCAUUUGUGUCUUGCAGGGGCCCUACAUUGUCUGGUGCCCUCUUCUUGCUCCAAAUGUACUUGAAAAAGGACUUUUUGUUGUCCUUAAUCCUGGACGCUAGCCUGAGUUCCAUCUCUACCUUGGCCUUCCUAAUAGCCCUCCUACACUCCUGGGCCGAGGAGGAGUACUCCUGCUCCAGCUGAUUGUGAGCAUUCAGGAAAACUGAGGGAAACCUCCAGGCUAGUGGUUCUCAACCUUUUUAGAGUUGAGACACCCCUCACAAAAUGCCAGCCCUUAGUUUUCCCUCUUUUUUUACUACAAAAAAAAAAAAAGAGCAAUUCUUCUGUUACAAAGAGCUCAUAAAACUCACAAGUCAGAAUAUUUUUGACACCAUAUUUCCUUUUUGAAAUCCCUGGGUUUAUCUUGUGCAGCACCCUGGCUGAGAAUCACUGCUUUAGCCUACUGACCCAAACCAACCCACAUCACUGAUGGCCAAUAGUAGGUACCGUGCGUUAUUGUCUUGGACAAAAGGAAUAAGUAAAUUACCUCAAUUUGGUUCCUAGUGGACAGAUGUCCACCAUUAUCUAGCACAGCUGGCCCUCACUGUCCCCCACCCCCCACUUGGCAUGGCAGUCUCUGGAGGAUUCAGCAGGGCCAAAAACAGGAUGAUCCCCUCAGUCCAGAGCAUGGGCCAGGCAGGUCAACUCGAGGCACAUUAGCAGAGCAGUUUGGAGAGACGCUUAGACUGGCAUGGUCUCAGCCCUCUGCCAUUUCUGCAAGCAUCAGCCUUCUCCCAAACUGCCAGGCUAGUACUUUGCACCACGGCAAAGCUCCCUACUUAAAAAUGAGACAGCAAAAGGCACAGGAAAUCCAGAGUAAGCUAGCAGGAGCAUGCAGGGCAGCCCUGGACUUUGGAUUUCAGACUAGUCAUUGCUUAUUCAACUCCAGUUCUGAAAGCGCCUGCCUCUGUGCGAAGAGAGAGCGCGCGCGACUGGCAAGGUCAGGGCAGGGGGGAGGGACAUUCAGCUGCUGGAAUGAGAGGAAGGUGGAGCUGCAGCUCCCUUGGCAUCAGCACAGACAGCUGCAACAAGGAGUGCUGGCCUGCAGCAGGGAGUGAAGGAAGGGAAGGGGGGGUUCCAGUUUCCAAAGCCCUGGCCAUUACUUGCAGCCGGUCGUCACAACUGGAGUUUGGCAGAAAUCUAAGCCUUCUUCACUGGCCACGUGAAUGGAAGCUGAACCGGAGCUCAGCAGCUGGUGCUUGCUACAGUGCACACUGUAGCAUGGUACCAUCUCAGAGAUCAUGGUGUCACUCUGAAGCUGCAACAUGACUGUCUUCCAGUUGUGCCACAAAAGGAAAAUAGGAUUAGCCACUGCCUGACUGGCAGCUUCAACUGCUCCUGCUUUAUGGUGCCUGGCAGCACUAGCAAGGGGAGAGAAUGGAUUCAUUAAGCUCUAAAGAGGUGCUGCAGAGGGACCACCGAUUCCCCUGGAUCCACUCUCCCAUCCCAAACACAGCCUCAAACAAGUGCUUGGUCAGCUUGUACCCACUGAAAUGCUCACAGCAGUAAUGUUUCAGGCACAUCCCAACGUGAUGUGCUUGUUCCACAGGGGUUUGUCUGCAGACCCUGCUGCCUGUAAAGACAAAUGACACAAUUGCUACAGAUUAAUCCACCCCAGAUUUUACUCCAUAGUAAGGGCCUGACAGCCUAUCAACUCUCCCACUGGCUGCCUGAGGUUGGUGCGCCUAGUCACUAGGGGUGCCUGUAGAUACAGCCCAUCAGGGCAGACUCGAUCAAUCAAGUCUGCUGAAACAUGCUAAUUAGUGCACUCCAGCAGCCUCUGCCUCUUGUGUGUUCAGUGCCCCCGUGCUUCAAAAUGUCAGUGGAGGUGCUUUAACUAAAGCUUGUCAAAUGAGCUUUAGUUAAAGUGCCCUUGCUGCCAUUUUGAAGCAUGGGAUGCUGAAUACACAAGACGCCACAGGUGCUUUAAUUAGAGCAGCUCUUGGAUCCACUCUAAUUAAAGCACCACCCCCCUGCUGACACACGUAAAGAUGCCCUAGGAGAUGGGGGAGCCAGUUUGCAUUGAGCAAAGGACUACUCUGUGGUUUGAAAUAGGUAUACAAAUCCAGUGUAAUUUACACUCGAGUAGCUUUACCUUGAAGCAGAGUAAUUUACACCAAAAAAGGCUGUGCCUCACGUAGUCCAUACCAACCAUUCCACCCACAGGCCUGUGUUUGAUCAAGUCACUUUUCUAUCAAUUCUUCCCAUCAAAAGCCUAUACUAAUAUCUGGCUCUUUUCCAGCAUCUUUCAUGUGAGAAUUUCAAGAUACAGAAUGGAUUUUGAAUGAGCUCUGCAACAUCAUUUCAAAGCAGGCAUUUUUAUCACCCUUUCACAGAGAGGGAAACUAUCUCAGAAAGCUUAAGUGAUCCAGUCACAUAAAGCACCAAUGGAAGGAAGUAAUAGAAAUAAAAUGCCUUGAGCUCUGUUCUUCCCAAUUCAAUCAUUCAACUAUAUUUCCCCUUCCUUCUGAAACCCCAGGCAGUUAUAGGACACUCAUAUAAAAGGUCCACCCUAUUUCUGUAGAGGUAAAAUAGCUCUCUGCUCUUUAUGUGGUUACCUGUAAAAGGUCUGCUCCACUGCACUUGAAUCAGUUCCCUCUCAUGGCCUUUACCCUGCCUUACAGCUGAAAGGGGACAGCAGAUUUACACUUUAUAGAUGAAGUGAACCAGAGAUGCAUGAACUUUUUUACAAGCAGCAGUUUACUUGAGCCUAACAGUGUUGCAUAACUGACUGACACAGGAAAAUCCAGAAGGAAGCAGCUUUAGACACUUUCAACCACAAGCCCCUAUGCACUGAAUUUAGGAAACCAUAAGUGGCUGUUUGUUCUGAUCACGGGUUGUAACCAAGCAAUUUCCCCAGCCAAUCAGAGCCAAGUAGUGCUAAAUUAAUCUAGCAGGCAUAAGGUACUGAACUUGUUUAUCGCUCUGACAUCUGACACCAGAGCAAAAAACUUUCAGACCUUCAACCGCCAUCGUUGGAGGGUAGGAGGAGCUUUCGACACAAACAGCUGCAAUCUCACAGCUCGCAGCCUGGAACUAGAGCCACUCCCUGCAAAGGGUACAGAGCCUGGGCUUGGAAGGGAGCGGACAAGGAGGACUGACCAUGCUGGGGUUUCAGCGUGCCUUCAGGUUGCUCCAUGCAACAAUGAGGAAUCAGAUUGUUCCCAGAGGGAACUAUAUGUCCAAACCACCAGAGGAAAUACUCACUCCAGCUGACCAAGCCAUUGGACUAAUUGUGAUGUUCUCGGUCUUCCUGAUUCCAUCAGGCUGGAUUCUAGCACACAUUCAGGACUACAAAGCCCACCAGAAUGAGUGAAGGACAGGGAGGAGGAACCUUUUCCAAGCCCAGAGCCAAAGGAUGGGAAUGAAGACUAUUGAACAGAUCCUUUCACAGGAAGCUGCUCUUUUAUAAUUAAAGCAUUAUGAAAAAAACCCA